AAUGAGAACUUUGAAGACUGAAGUGGAGAAAGGUUUGACGUGAACAGCAGUUGGACGUCAGUGAGCCGCUCCUAAGAGAUAGGGAAAUUCCGUUCGGAAGCGAGUGGUUUGGCGCCGGCAACGGCGUUGGAACGCUCCGCGCUCGAAAGGGAACACGGUUAAUAUUCCGUGGCCGGGAAGUGAGUGUUGCGGCGACGCAUGCGAGCCUGGGAACGUCGGAGGUAGCCUCGGGGAGAGUUAUCUUUUCUUGUUAACAGAUGUCAUGGGCGUGGAAUCGGUUUACCCGGAGAUACGCCUAUGGUUCUGGUAAAGCACACUGAUUUUCUGUGUGUCCGAUGCGCUACCGACGGCCCGUGAAACCCCAGGUAUCGGAACGUGUGGGCCUUUAGUGCCUGCAGAUUCAUACACCCCCGGGCGUACUCAUAACCGCAUCAGGUCUCCAAGGUGUGCAGCCUCUAGUUGAUAGAAUAAUGUAGAUAAGGGAAGUCGG
This 490-nucleotide ribosomal RNA is filed under the name Oxyrrhis marina. Its description in RNAcentral is "partial Eukaryotic large subunit ribosomal RNA". It matches the Rfam family "Eukaryotic large subunit ribosomal RNA", at positions 1474 to 1917 of the family's 3401-position model. Lineage: Eukaryota; Dinophyceae; Oxyrrhinales; Oxyrrhinaceae. The record is from RNAcentral.